Molecule: ribosomal RNA, 497 nt
Filed under: uncultured bacterium
Lineage: Bacteria
Description: partial 16S ribosomal RNA
Rfam family: Bacterial small subunit ribosomal RNA
Source: RNAcentral
AUUGAACGCUGGCGGCAUGCUUUACACAUGCAAGUCGAACGGCAGCACGGGGCAACCUGGUGGCGAGUGGCGAACGGGUGAGUAAUAUAUCGGAACGUACCCAAGAGUGGGGGAUAACGUAGCGAAAGUUACGCUAAUACCGCAUACGAUCUAAGGAUGAAAGCAGGGGAUCUUCGGACCUUGUGCUCCUGGAGCGGCCGAUAUCUGAUUAGCUAGUUGGUGAGGUAAAGGCUCACCAAGGCGACGAUCAGUAGCUGGUCUGAGAGGACGACCAGCCACACUGGAACUGAGACACGGUCCAGACUCCUACGGGAGGCAGCAGUGGGGAAUUUUGGACAAUGGGCGAAAGCCUGAUCCAGCAAUGCCGCGUGAGUGAAGAAGGCCUUCGGGUUGUAAAGCUCUUUUGUCAGGGAAGAAACGGUCGUGGCUAAUAUCCAUGGCUAAUGACGGUACCAGAAGAAUAAGCACCGGCUAACUACGUGCCAGCCGCCGCGUAA